ACGGUAGCUUAGAGGUAGAGCACUCCCUUGGUAAGGGAGAGGUCGAGGGUUCAAUUCCCUCCCGUGG
RNAcentral lists this transfer RNA (67 nucleotides) under bovine gut metagenome. It matches the Rfam family "tRNA". From Rfam's summary of the family: Transfer RNA (tRNA) molecules are approximately 80 nucleotides in length. Their secondary structure includes four short double-helical elements and three loops (D, anti-codon, and T loops). The record is from RNAcentral.